GCCCCAGUGGCCUAAUUGAUAAGGCACUAAGACAGGGAUUGUGGGUUCAAGUCCCAUCUGGGGUG
RNAcentral lists this transfer RNA (65 nucleotides) under Perca fluviatilis (European perch). It matches the Rfam family "tRNA". Rfam says of the family: Transfer RNA (tRNA) molecules are approximately 80 nucleotides in length. Their secondary structure includes four short double-helical elements and three loops (D, anti-codon, and T loops). Lineage: Eukaryota; Metazoa; Chordata; Actinopteri; Perciformes; Percidae. The record is from Rfam by way of RNAcentral.